Cynocephalus volans (Philippine flying lemur) is the source of this 105-nucleotide small nuclear RNA. Lineage: Eukaryota; Metazoa; Chordata; Mammalia; Dermoptera; Cynocephalidae. The record is from RefSeq and is a predicted model, not a curated record.
GUGCUCGAAUUGGCUGCACAUGUGCUAAAAUUGGAACUAUACAGAAAAGAUUAGCAUGGCCUCUGCACAAGGAUGACACAAAUUCAUGAAGUGUGAAAAACAAAG